UGGGGUAUAGCUCAGUGGUAGAGUGCUCGCUUAACACAUGCGAAGUACUGAGUUUGAUCCUCAGCACCACAU
RNAcentral lists this transfer RNA (72 nucleotides) under Marmota monax (woodchuck). It matches the Rfam family "tRNA". Rfam says of the family: Transfer RNA (tRNA) molecules are approximately 80 nucleotides in length. Their secondary structure includes four short double-helical elements and three loops (D, anti-codon, and T loops). The record is from Rfam by way of RNAcentral. Lineage: Eukaryota; Metazoa; Chordata; Mammalia; Rodentia; Sciuridae.